ACAGUGGACGCGAGCAUCUGUGGCCAAGUUUUUAAGGGCGCACGGUGGAUGCCUUGGCACCAGGAACCGAUGAAGGACGUGGGAGGCCGCGAUAGGCCCCGGGGAGCUGUCAACCAAGCUUUGAUCCGGGGGUGUCCGAAUGGGGAAACCCGGCAGUCGUCAUGGGCUGUCACCCUUACCUGAACACAUAGGGUAAGUGGAGGGAACGAGGGGAAGUGAAACAUCUCAGUACCCUCAGGAAGAGAAAACAACCGUGAUUCCGGGAGUAGUGGCGAGCGAAACCGGAUGAGGCCAAACCGUAUGCGUGUGAUACCCGGCAGGGGUUGCGCAUGCGGGGUUGUGGGAUCUCUCUUUCACGGUCUGCCGGCCGUGAGACGAGUCAGAAACCGUUGAUGUAGGCGAAGGACAUGCGAAAGGUCCGGCGUAGAGGGUAAGACCCCCGUAGCUGAAACAUUGACGGCUCGUUUGAGAGACACCCAAGUAGCACGGGGCCCGAGAAAUCCCGUGUGAAUCUGGCGGGACCACCCGCUAAGCCUAAAUAUUCCCUGGUGACCGAUAGCGGAUAGUACCGUGAGGGAAUGGUGAAAAGUACCGCGGGAGCGGAGUGAAAUAGUACCUGAAACCGUGUGCCUACAAGCCGUGGGAGCGUCGCUCACAUCUUCGGAUGUGGGUCGUGACUGCGUGCCUUUUGAAGAAUGAGCCUGCGAGUUUGCGGUGUGUUGCGAGGUUAACCCGUGUGGGGAAGCCGUAGCGAAAGCGAGUCCGAACAGGGCGAUUCAGUAGCGCGCUCAAGACCCGAAGCGGAGUGAUCUAGCCAUGGGCAGGUUGAAGCGGAGGUAAGACUUCGUGGAGGACCGAACCCACCAGGGUUGAAAACCUGGGGGAUGACCUGUGGUUAGGGGUGAAAGGCCAAUCAAACUCCGUGAUAGCUGGUUCUCCCCGAAAUGCAUUUAGGUGCAGCGUCGUGUGUUUCUUGCCGGAGGUAGAGCACUGGAUAGGCGAUGGGCCCUACCGGGUUACUGACCUUAGCCAAACUCCGAAUGCCGGUAAGUGAGAGCGCGGCAGUGAGACUGUGGGGGAUAAGCUCCAUGGUCGAGAGGGAAACAGCCCAGAGCAUCGACUAAGGCCCCUAAGCGUACGCUAAGUGGGAAAGGAUGUGGAGUCGCAGAGACAACCAGGAGGUUGGCUUAGAAGCAGCCACCCUUGAAAGAGUGCGUAAUAGCUCACUGGUCAAGUGAUUCCGCGCCGACAAUGUAGCGGGGCUCAAGCGUACCGCCGAAGUCGUGUCAUUCCAGCAUGAGGGCCAACGCCCGCUGGGAUGGGUAGGGGAGCGUCGUGUGCCGGGUGAAGCAGCCGCGGAAGCGAGUUGUGGACGGUUCACGAGUGAGAAUGCAGGCAUGAGUAGCGAUACACACGUGAGAAACGUGUGCGCCGAUUGACUAAGGGUUCCUGGGUCAAGCUGAUCUGCCCAGGGUAAGUCGGGACCUAAGGCGAGGCCGACAGGCGUAGUCGAUGGACAACCGGUUGAUAUUCCGGUACCCGCUUUGAAGCGCCAGCGCUGAACCCAGCGAUGCUAAGCCCGUGAAACCGCCGUGUGCGUCUUCGGACAAGCACGGAGUGGUGGAGCCGGUGGCCCAGACUGGUAGUAGGUGAGCGAUGGGGUGACGCAGGAAGGUAGUCCAGCCCGGGCGGUGGUUGUCCCGGGGUAAGGGUGUAGGACGUCACGUAGGCAAAUCCGCGUGACACAUAGUCUGAGACCUGAUGCCGAGCCGAUUGUGGUGAAGUGGAUGAUCCUAUGCUGUCGAGAAAAGCCUCUAGCGAGUUUCAUGGCGGCCCGUACCCUAAACCGACUCAGGUGGUCAGGUAGAGAAUACCGAGGCGUUCGGGUGAACUAUGGUUAAGGAACUCGGCAAAAUGCCCCCGUAACUUCGGGAGAAGGGGGGCCACGCCUGGUGAUGGAGUUUACCUCCGGAGCUGGGGGUGGCCGCAGAGACCAGCGAGAAGCGACUGUUUACUAAAAACACAGGUCCGUGCGAAGCCGUAAGGCGAUGUAUACGGACUGACGCCUGCCCGGUGCUGGAACGUUAAGGGGACCGGUUAGCUUGGAUUCGUCCAGGCGAAGCUGAGAACUUAAGCGCCAGUAAACGGCGGUGGUAACUAUAACCAUCCUAAGGUAGCGAAAUUCCUUGUCGGGUAAGUUCCGACCUGCACGAAUGGCGUAACGACUUCUCGACUGUCUCAACCAUAGGCCCGGUGAAAUUGCACUACGAGUAAAGAUGCUCGUUUCGCGCAGCAGGACGGAAAGACCCCGGGACCUUUACUACAGUUUGAUAUUGGUGUUCGGUUCGGCUUGUGUAGGAUAGGUGGGAGACUUUGAAGCUGUGACGCCAGUCAUGGUGGAGUCGCCGUUGAAAUACCACUCUGGUCGUGCUGGAUGUCUAACCUGGGUCCGUGAUCCGGAUCAGGGACAGUGUCUGAUGGGUAGUUUAACUGGGGCGGUUGCCUCCUAAAGGGUAACGGAGGCGCCCAAAGGUUCCCUCAGCCUGGUUGGCAAUCAGGUGUUGAGUGUAAGUGCACAAGGGAGCUUGACUGUGAGACCGACGGGUCGAGCAGGGACGAAAGUCGGGACUAGUGAUCCGGCGGUGGCUUGUGGAAGCGCCGUCGCUCAACGGAUAAAAGGUACCCCGGGGAUAACAGGCUGAUCUUCCCCAAGAGUCCAUAUCGACGGGAUGGUUUGGCACCUCGAUGUCGGCUCGUCGCAUCCUGGGGCUGGAGUCGGUCCCAAGGGUUGGGCUGUUCGCCCAUUAAAGCGGUACGCGAGCUGGGUUUAGAACGUCGUGAGACAGUUCGGUCCCUAUCCGCUGUGCGCGUAGGAAUAUUGAGAAGGGCUGUCCCUAGUACGAGAGGACCGGGACGGACGAACCUCUGGUGUGCCAGUUGUUCUGCCAAGGGCAUGGCUGGUUGGCUACGUUCGGGAGGGAUAACCGCUGAAAGCAUCUAAGCGGGAAGCCUGCUUCGAGAUGAGUAUUCCCACCUCCUUGAGAGGGUAAGGCUCCCAGUAGACGACUGGGUUGAUAGGCCGGAUAUGGAAGCCCAGUGAUGGGUGGAGUUGACCGGUACUAAUAGGCCGAGGGCUUGUCCUCAGUUG
This 3148-nucleotide ribosomal RNA is filed under the name Streptomyces thermolilacinus SPC6. RNAcentral describes it as "bacterial LSU rRNA". It matches the Rfam family "Bacterial large subunit ribosomal RNA". The record is from RNAcentral. Lineage: Bacteria; Bacillati; Actinomycetota; Actinomycetes; Kitasatosporales; Streptomycetaceae.